CUCUCCCGCAAACUCACGACUAGUCCACACUUUUAACUUUCUUCUUCGCAAUGUUGCUCCUCCUCCUACCAACUUAACCACCACAAACUUUGCAACUCCCUUCACUGACAAGAUCUCUACAAUCAAGGAAGAGAUCUCUCUCCUUCCCCUUACAAUACUUCCCCCAACCUCACUCCCUCUGCUGUUUUAUGCUCAUUCGCAUGCGCUACGGCGGAAGAUGUUUCUG
Non-coding RNA from Pelobates cultripes (western spadefoot toad), 226 nucleotides. Lineage: Eukaryota; Metazoa; Chordata; Amphibia; Anura; Pelobatidae. The record is from the annotation of a GenBank genome assembly.